CAAGAUAUAGCUUAACACAAAGCAUCCGGCCUACACCCGGAAGAUCUCAACACCACUUGACUAUCUUGA
This 69-nucleotide transfer RNA is filed under the name Cercopithecus diana (Diana monkey). Its description in RNAcentral is "tRNA-Val". Lineage: Eukaryota; Metazoa; Chordata; Mammalia; Primates; Cercopithecidae. The record is from RNAcentral.